RNAcentral lists this ribosomal RNA (569 nucleotides) under Eurotiomycetes sp. genotype 704 JMUR-2016. RNAcentral's name for it is "eukaryotic LSU rRNA". The stretch from base 70 to 569 matches the Rfam family "Eukaryotic large subunit ribosomal RNA", at positions 1 to 503 of the family's 3401-position model. Lineage: Eukaryota; Fungi; Ascomycota; Eurotiomycetes. The record is from RNAcentral.
CUGAUGCGUAGUAAAAUUCGCAGACCAGGCUUUUCUGCUGGCGGCCGGAACGCACUAUAUCUUUUUGUUUGACCUCGGAUCAGGUAGGGAUACCCGCUGAACUUAAGCAUAUCAAUAAGCGGAGGAAAAGAAACCAACAGGGAUUGCCCUAGUAACGGCGAGUGAAGCGGCAACAGCUCAAAUUUGAAAUCUGGCCCUCUGCGGGGUCCGAGUUGUAAUUUGUAGAGGGUGUUUCGGCGCAGUCCCCAGCCUAAGUUCCUUGGAACGGGACGUCAUAGAGGGUGAGAACCCCGUAUGCGGCUGGUGUGCUGUGCUAUGUGAAACCCCUUCGACGAGUCGAGUUGUUUGGGAAUGCAGCUCUAAAUGGGAGGUAUAUUUCUUCUAAAGCUAAAUACUGGCCAGAGACCGAUAGCGCACAAGUAGAGUGAUCGAAAGAUGAAAAGCACUUUGGAAAGAGAGUCAAACAGCACGUGAAAUUGUUGAAAGGGAAGCGCUUGCCACCAGACUUGUUGGCCGUCGUUCAUCCCAGGAUUUCCCCGGGUGCAUUCGGCGGCGGACAGGCCAGCAUC